AAGCUUGGCUGGAAAAGUAAUUUUCUUUGCAUCUAUUUUUGGCAGUCGAUCUAUUUUUAUUGACUUAAAUACUCAUGCCCACUUCUCAUUUUAGAAAUUGCUAUUGUGACCUCAGUUUUUGAGAUUAAUGGGUUUGUCUAUUUUGUAUCUGCAAUUCAUAUCAUAUCUUGAUUGGUAGUUUUUGGAUAAGUAGAUAAUUAGCUCCUCAGUUGGUUUAAUUCGACAUGCUUAGUUGAGCGACCAUUAUAAGAGUAGUGUUUAGGGUUGGGUAGUUUCUUUCCAUUUUGGAAAAUUGAAUGUAGCAUGGGUUUCCUAGAUUCUUUUCUUGUUUAUCCAACUAAUAUGUAUUUAGAUGAUGUGUAUUCCGAGUUAUAUAUGCCAAAAGUAUUAUCAUUUCAGGUCAGCAACAGGAGAUCUCGCAGAUGGUUGAACGAUCGUCUUUUAAUGGAACUUGUUCCUCGUUUAAAUGCAGAAGAAAUUAGAGGGUUGUUUGCCCCACCACCUUUUGGUAAGAUAUUUUUGGGUGUGAUAUUAUUCCGUAAUUGAUCAUUUCCUGUUCCUAAUGUACAAAUGAUGUACAUUUUACCGUUGGUUUCUUUUGGAAGCAAGCUUUGGAGACAGUUCGUCACCUUCCCUAAUACUGAUAAAACAUAAGGUGCCCAGGUUACACUGAUAGAACAUAAUGGACCCUACGCAGCACGAAUUUGGAUUAGUCGGGCUAAUGGGUUCUGAAUACUAAAUGGUUGUACCAAAAAAAAAGAAUCAUUAUCUGAGCCAAAAAAAAAAACUAACGUGAGUCAAUUUGGAUAAAGCUUGUGGCGUCAGAGCUGGAUAUGCAGUUUUAAUCAUCUUUUGGUACUACAGCUGUUCUUAAUUUUCUAGCUGCUAUUAGUAGAGGUUAAGUUUCUACAUUCAUUGUCUUCGCUGAAGUUGAAACAUCUUGAAGCAAAAGAAAAUACAUUUUCUAGCAAAGAAGGAUGCCUGCCUGGCCAAGAUUAUUUAGCACAAUGAUUUUUGCACAUACACUUCUUUCUUGUUAAAAGAAAAAAAAAUAUUAGCAUACAUACUGCAUGGAGAUUUCUUUUUGUCCAGGGAAACAGUUGUAUCAUCCUUCAUCUUUUGUUCUGAACAUGAUACAUUCGUGCAUAUAUGUCUUCUUUUUCACAAUUUGUUUAUUUUAAAGAGCACAAAAUAUGUUAAUAUUAAAUAGGAAAACAAGAAAAAGGAAGAAAUGUUGUAUCAUUGCACCAAAAAUUAUUAGGGCUUUGUGUUCAAAUAUCUUGAAGUAGAAGCAGAAGUGCCGUAUGUUUUGAAGCAGGGUUGUGAAUGUGAUAAUGGCCAAGUUAUAACUCAUGGUUGUGAUUUUAUAUUUUUACAUUGCAUCUCAUCUUGGCCAUAUAGAAGCUCUUCGGCUGUUCAUAUUCUUUUGUCAAAUAUAUAUACUUUUCAAUUGAACUUUUUUUUCUUCAAGAAUAAGUACUUUUUCAUUGAACUUAUAACACGCUAAAUUUUAUUUCUGAUAUUAACAUAUUGAUAUUUCUUUUUCUGCAGGUGAUGAUGUGCCACCCUCAGUAUUUUGCUUGACGAAUGUGGAGGAGUGGGAUAAAUUCAGGAAUAUAGACAUGGAUAAGGAGGUGUUUUCCUGUUUCCGUAAAGUGUAUUUACUUCCUAAAAACCUGGCAACAUUUACUUCGAGUAGUGUUUAUAUUAAAAACUAUGACUUCUUUCUACGCUAUGUAUUUUCACCCCCUUCUUUUUUUGAUAAGCAUGCAUUCUUUCCUUUGGUUUUCCUGGCGAAUGAUUUCCUUAGGACAAUUAGGCAAUAUGAAAGGCCUGUUGUUACUUCAUAGUUAAAUUGAACUACUUAUUAAAGCACAGUUCAUUAUUGAUUACUAUAUGAAAUUCUUGAUUAACUCUUGAUGAAGUAUGUCUUCACCCCUUUGUUUCAAAAGUUUGCAUUUUUAUUUAAUUCAAUGUAGUGACGCUCUUUCUUGGAAUUUGACUUGUGAUGUUGCAAAAUUGUCUUAUGGUCUUCUAUAUGCUCAUAUUUGGUUAGGCUACCAUAAUGGAUGCUCUUGAAGGUAAAACAUCGAAGCGAAAAAAUUGCAUGGAUAAUGAUAAGGUUGCGGUAUUGACUGCAUGGCAUAGAGUGGAUUGUCGAACAAGAGAGGCACUUCGACGUAACUUUCUCCCUGAAUUGGUCAGCAGCUAUGAGGUAUUGUUCCUGAAAAUUAUUGGGCCCCUUGUCUUCAAUUUGUUCUUCUGUAUGCGUUGUUCUUAUGCAAAUGUUAUUCAGCUAUUGCAUCUGUUAUUGUUCUGAAGAUGUUGCAGCAAACACCGACUUGAUAUGUAUUAAGGUUCUGAUAGAAGUUUAGCUUGUUGAGCCUCCAAGGGAGGUGGCCAGUGAUUGCUGAGUUGAAUUGACAACAUUUGGAACCCAUAUUCGAGUUCCAGUAGAGCCGACAAUGAACUCUUCUCAUCUAUCUAAGUUCAUGGGGAGAGUUACCUC
This 2509-nucleotide long non-coding RNA is filed under the name Nicotiana benthamiana. RNAcentral describes it as "long non-coding RNA (NBEN_LNC004030)". The record is from RNAcentral. Lineage: Eukaryota; Viridiplantae; Streptophyta; Magnoliopsida; Solanales; Solanaceae.